CGCGUAGGAACCUGCCCAGUAGUGGGGGAUAGCCCGGUGAAAACCGGAUUAAUACCGCAUACGCUCUACGGAGGAAAGGGGGCUUCGGCUCUCGCUAUUGGAUGGGCCUGCGUGAGAUUAGCUAGUUGGUGAGGUAAUGGCUCACCAAGGCGACGAUCUCUAGCUGGUCUGAGAGGAUGAUCAGUCACACCGGAACUGAGACACGGUCCGGACUCCUACGGGAGGCAGCAGUGGGGAAUAUUGGACAAUGGGGGCAACCCUGAUCCAGCCAUGCCGCGUGUGUGAAGAAGGCCUUUUGGU
Molecule: ribosomal RNA, 300 nt
Filed under: uncultured Oceanospirillaceae bacterium
Lineage: Bacteria; Pseudomonadati; Pseudomonadota; Gammaproteobacteria; Oceanospirillales; Oceanospirillaceae
Description: bacterial SSU rRNA
Rfam family: Bacterial small subunit ribosomal RNA
Source: RNAcentral